CUCCCGUGGGUGUGUCAUCUGUCGUGUCUCAACAUGGCAUGCUCGAGUUGAUAGACAGCUGCACUCGCACCUGAGCUGCCAAGGUGAGACACACGAGUGAAAAACACUCACCGCCGACCAUCUGUCCGUCCACCGACUUCUUCUCGGUCAUCAGGUAGUUUUCACAGCUGUUCUGUUGCCCGCACCGCUAGAAACUUUGCCUGGGAAUUUGUCGCCUGUAACAUUUCAGUCAUUGUUUCUGGUCGUGUGUGCAACGUGCAUCCAAGCCUGCAGAAAAAGUGGAUUUUUGGUUGUUUGUAAACAAACAGAAGUUUUCAGGUUGGGAUGCAUUGAUUGCCAAGUUUAUCUAAAUGGACUACUCCGAGCAUAUAUUUUCCUUGUUUGAAAAUCUAAGCUAGCGCUUUAGUGGUGACAUACAUAAGGGCACAGUGGGUAUGGUUGUGGUGUUGCCACAUGCAAACUGCUCGUGAGUAUGUGUGGUAUGUUGGUGAACCAGCUCAACUUAAUGAUGAUGAUGAUGAUGGGUGUAACCUUUUCCCUUUUCAGAGGCCUGAUUUUGUGACAAUGUCGUUAAUUAAAGAGCAGACUUAAGA
Molecule: long non-coding RNA, 593 nt
Organism: Syngnathus typhle (broad-nosed pipefish)
Lineage: Eukaryota; Metazoa; Chordata; Actinopteri; Syngnathiformes; Syngnathidae
Exons: 2
Source: RefSeq, a predicted model, not a curated record